AAUAUUGGACAAUGGGCGCAAGCCUGAUCCAGCAACGCCGCGUGGAGGACGAAGGUCUUCGGAUCGUAAACUCCUGUCAGGCGGGACGAAGGCUUCCGUGCGAACAGUGCGGAAGCUUGACGGUACUGCCAGAGGAAGCACCGGCUAACUCCGUGCCAGCAGCCGCGGUAAUACGGAGGGGGCUAGCGUUAUUCGGAAUUAUUGGGCGUAAAGGGCGCGUAGGCGGCCCGGUAAGUCAAAGGUGAAAUCCCUCGGCUCAACUGAGGAACUGCCUUUGAAACUGUCGGGCUUGAGGCCGGGAGGGGGUAGCGGAAUUCCCAGUGUAGCGGUGAAAUGCGUAGAUAUCUGGAGGAACACCGGUGGCGAAGGCGACAUCCUGGACCGGCAUUGACGCUGAGGCGCGAAAGCCAGGGGAGCAAAC
Molecule: ribosomal RNA, 421 nt
Filed under: uncultured bacterium
Lineage: Bacteria
Description: bacterial SSU rRNA
Rfam family: Bacterial small subunit ribosomal RNA
Source: RNAcentral